CCAGGUUGUCCCGAUUCCCCAAGAGGGAUCUACGUCAAUGAAAAAGAAACGCUCCUUCCAGCCGUGAAUGGAGGAAGGAGCAUCCUUGACGAGGCCGCACCCUCGCCGCGCCGCGAAGCACCACCACCCUCUGUCCCGGGGGUGGCCGUUCAGGCCGUAGCAUUCCCAAAAGACAUUCAGGGUGGCGGGAACCUCAUGCAUGCGGCAGAGAACCUGGAAGGCCGUCAGGG
This 230-nucleotide long non-coding RNA is filed under the name Phoenix dactylifera (date palm). RNAcentral's name for it is "long non-coding RNA (PDAC_LNC013185)". Lineage: Eukaryota; Viridiplantae; Streptophyta; Magnoliopsida; Arecales; Arecaceae. The record is from RNAcentral.